Molecule: ribosomal RNA, 253 nt
Filed under: uncultured bacterium
Lineage: Bacteria
Description: partial 16S ribosomal RNA
Rfam family: Bacterial small subunit ribosomal RNA
Source: RNAcentral
UACAGAGGUCCCAAGCGUUGUUCGGAUUCACUGGGCGUAAAGGGCGCGUAGGCGGCUCGGCACGUCCGUUGUGAAAUCGCCCGGCUCAACUGGGCGGGGUCGGCGGAUACGGCCGAGCUGGAGCAAGCUAGGGGGUAAUGGAAUUCCCGGUGUAGUGGUGGAAUGCGUAGAUAUCGGGAGGAACACCAGUGGCGAAGGCGGUUACCUGGAGCUUUGCUGACGCUGAUGCGCGAAAGCGUGGGGAGCGAUCCGG